RNAcentral lists this unclassified non-coding RNA (2030 nucleotides) under uncultured fungus. RNAcentral's name for it is "sequence contains 18S rRNA gene, ITS1, 5.8S rRNA gene, ITS2, 28S rRNA gene". The stretch from base 915 to 2030 matches the Rfam family "Eukaryotic large subunit ribosomal RNA", at positions 1 to 961 of the family's 3401-position model. The record is from RNAcentral. Lineage: Eukaryota; Fungi.
GGAAGGAUCAUUAACACGUAUCCACGUAUCAACCAACGAGAACCACGUUUUCACGUCUCCCUUUUGCAAAUUAGAAUGAAUUGGUAACCAGUUUGAGGGAAUGGAUGUGGACCGCAAGGUCGGCCUUCCUGGUAUAUCUAUGGGACCUAACGGUUUCAUUAACAAUUGUAUCUUUUAUGCGAGGCAACAAUUUCUUUCGACUACUUCGAUCUCACAUUCCUGAUCAAUGUUGUUAACGAGAGAGAAACCCCUAUAAAAACUAUUUUCACCACCUUUUUGCUAGUUGACUUUUUAUCUGUUACUGUUUUGCGCAAGCAAUGUAGUCGCACGUUUAAUUACUUGAACGUUAAAAAAUACAACUCUUAGCAAUGGAUAUCUUGGUUCUCGCAACGAUGAAGAACGCAGCGAAAUGCGAUACGUAAUGCGAAUUGCAGAAUUCAGUGAAUCAUCAAAUCUUUGAACGCAAAUUGCGCUCUUGGGUAGCCCUAGGAGCACGCCUCUCUCAGUAUCGGUUCAACAAUCUCUCAGCAGCGUGAUUAAUUUGAAUGAGAUGAUAAUUUAUUUAUUAUUUUGAUCGAAUCUAUUGCGUGUUGGCUGGAUAAUGAGAGUCUGAAUGCUUUGUCGUUCAGUCUCUUGAAAUACAUGGAGUAAACAUGACUAAUCGAUCAGCUCUUGUUUUUUGAUUUUCGGAUCGAAAGCGAGAUAGUAGAGUCUCUGACUUUGCUUUCGUUCGAAUAGUGACGUGAAUAUUGGCCUUCAUCGGUCUUCUUUUAUGUUUAUCUAUUUGAAUGAGACAACUUAUAAAGUCUAGGAUUUAACGAACGAUUGAAAUUUAGUGUGUGCUUUUACGUUGAGAUAACCAUAUGGCUUUUGUUAAAUAUAUAUUUAUAUAUAUUGAAUAGAAUCCUGAAUUUUGAUCUGAGAUGAAGCGAGACAACCCCCUGAAUUUAAGCAUAUUAAUAAGGGGAGGAAAAGAAACUAACAAGGAUUCCCCCAGUAACGGCGAGUGAAGCGGGAAGAGCUCAAUUUGAAAAUCGAUUACCUAAACGGGUCAUCGAAUUGUAGCCUAGAGACGUACUAUCAGCUGAAACCUGGGUAUAAGUUCUUUGGAAUGAGGCAUCAUAGAGGGUGAGAAUCCCGUUUAUGACCCAAAGCUUUCAGCGUACGAUGUAUGUUCAUCGAGUCGAGUUGUUUGGGAUUGCAGCUCUAAAUGGGUGGUAAGUUUCAUCUAAAGCUAAAUAAUGGCGAGAGACCGAUAGCGAACAAGUACCGUGAGGGAAAGAUGAAAAGAACUUUGAAAAGAGAGUUAAAAGUACUUGAAAUUGCUAAGAGGGAAGCGCUAAAAACCAGUGAUACGCUAGGUCAAUCGUUCUCGGCUCUUCGUAGAUAGUGUUAGGCAAUGCGCAAGCUUGUUUGGUGCUAUCGAAAGGGCGGUCGUGGAUUUAUGAUUUAGUGUCAGUCAAGAUCAAUUCGGAUUGUGGGAGAAGGUAGCGAGAAAGGUAGGAGAGCAAUCUCUGUUAUAUUCUUGUUACUCUACCUCGGCCUGGAUUGAGGAAGUAAUGGUGCGCCGCUUGCGGCUUGGUCCUGCGUCUCUGUUGUCCUACUUGCUCCGAUAGCAAUGCUAUCUCUGUGGGGAAAGGCAAUACUGGGCGUAGUGAUUCUAUGUGCCAUCACGAUCUUGUACGAAAUGGUUUUUAUCGACCCGUCUUGAAACACGGACCAAGGAGUCUAACAUCUAUGCAAGUAUUUGGGUGCAAAACCCUGAUGCGUAAUGAAAGUAAAGGCAGACUUGUUCUGCUGAGGUAGGAAUCCUUGUCAAAGGGGAGGCACUAUCGACCGAUCAUCACUUGUGAAAGAUUUGAGUAAGAGCAUAUCUGUUGGGACCCGAAAGAUGGUGAUCUAUGCCUGAACAGGGUGAAGCCAGGGGAAACUCUGGUGGAGGCUCGUAGCGAUACUGACGUGCAAAUCGUUCGUCUGAUUUGGGUAUAGGGGCGAAAGACUAAUCGAACCAUCUAGUAGCUGGUUCCCUC